GACCAGAUCAGGUGUUGACAUGGGCGAGA
Molecule: non-coding RNA, 29 nt
Filed under: Mus musculus (house mouse)
Lineage: Eukaryota; Metazoa; Chordata; Mammalia; Rodentia; Muridae
Source: RNAcentral